UGCCAGCCGCCGCGGUAAUACGGAGGGUCCAACCGUUAUCCGGAUUUAUUGGGCGUAAAGCGCGUGUAGGCGGUUCGUUAAGUCUGAUGUGAAAGCCCGGGGCUCAACCCCGGAAGUGCAUUGGAUACUGGCAGACUUGAGUACGGGAGAGGGAAGUGGAAUUCCGAGUGUAGGAGUGAAAUCCGUAGAUAUUCGGAGGAACACCGGUGGCGAAGGCGGCUUCCUGGACCGAUACUGACGCUGAGACGCGAAAGCGUGGGGAGCAAACAGGACUAGAUA
Molecule: ribosomal RNA, 279 nt
Filed under: uncultured bacterium
Lineage: Bacteria
Description: partial 16S ribosomal RNA
Rfam family: Bacterial small subunit ribosomal RNA
Source: RNAcentral